UGGGAACUCGGCCAUCCACUUCUGUAUGCACACUUAAGCUGCCCUCCAUUACAAGACAAGUGGGUUGGCUAAAGCAAGAAGAGGCCAGCCAGAACCACCACCACCUCCAGCAUGGGAGGGCGCUGCGACACGUCAGCGCUCACAAAGAACAAACAGGAGGAUCCUCAAAUUAAACGUGCAGCGCUGUGGGCCUGACUCACAGCUCGUGGGCAUGUUUGGUGGAGGGCAGGAUAUUUCUUCAAAGUUCCUGCAGCAGCCUCGCUGCGCAACACUUGAUAUAGAUAUGACCUGAAACCUGAAAUCUCCCAACAACGACAACAACAGCUACUCCAUUAUAUGUUGAAGGAGUUGGCUCAGCUUUUGAAUUGUAGCAUCAAGUCAGUUCAGCUUCAUUAAUACAACCCCCUAUUAUCCUACGUCAGAAUGAAAGUAAAGGACUGUUGGUUCACACACACACCUGCAGCACAUUCUGGCACUCAGCGCCUGAUGACGUACCCUGGUCUUCGCUGCCAGUUGAUUUUGUCGGCUCAGUGCGGUAAAUGUGAACGAUCACUCUCUGGAUCAGCGGUCAGUCGCCAGCCAACUGUCUGUGGAGCCUCCAGGAGUCGCUCUCUGGAGUGCUCUGGUUCCCCCUCUCUGAACCCUCGCCGGAGCCGCCAGCCUGAGCCGGAGCUCUCCACCUUGAGCUUGAGCUCGACCUCUCGUUGAGUUCUCGGACUGAUCCAUGUCUGGACUGAACAUGUCUUUGAGUUGAUCACCACUCCCUGCCGUAACCACUGAGUCCUCCUCUCCAGUUCUAACUCAUUCUCUUGCAAGUUUUCUGAAAUCUCAGAUUGUUUUGUUCAAUAAAUAAGGCCUG
Acanthopagrus latus (yellowfin seabream) is the source of this 859-nucleotide long non-coding RNA. RefSeq lists it as uncharacterized. The record is from RefSeq and is a predicted model, not a curated record. NCBI's taxonomy places the organism in Eukaryota, Metazoa, Chordata, Actinopteri, Spariformes, Sparidae. The transcript has 3 exons.